AUUUAAUUUAUUUUUCUGCUACUACUUUCUAUUAUCUGUUGCUUUAAUUGUCAUUUGAACACAUAAACUCUGUAGAGAACUAACCUCAAAAUUUAUCUUUAAAGCAACUUUAACUUUUUCCCCCCUUUAAUGCAUAAUUUUUUAAGUUUAUUGUCCACAAAAGCGUCUAAAUUACAUAUAUUUGCCUCAAAUCUCUACAAAGCUGCAAACCCUGAACCCAUUAAAUAACCUCAACAGAAAAAUCAUAAAAUUCGAAAGCUCAUGCUUAUAACUAUAUAGAUCUGUAUGUGUGUGGGCACAUGGGUGCAUGCAACUGCAACCAAUUAUCAGUGUGAACCUACAAGUUAUUUAUCUAAACGUACAUACAUCUACAUAUAUACAUACAUACAUAUAUAGUUAUGUAAGUUAGUAAAGAUUGCGAGAGCAAACCUAAAUGGUGACAACAACAAAUUCUAGUUAAUAGGAAACUACUGAACUUAAACUGAGGGUACACACAUUUAUAAAAAAUAAAUCAACAACAUUAAGAAGAAGAAAUAAGCAAAACAAAGCAAAAGUAUCGCAACACAAAGGAUACGUAACUUAAUUCAAUUUAAAUACGCAUCAAAUGUAACUGUAAUUGUAAUUGUAUUUAGUAGUAAGUCAAUAUUUAAUGAUGAAUGUGUAUGUGUAACUCGGCGGCGCGAUUAUAAAGGAAUGCAACAAUUUUUUAAUUAAAAAAAAAUUAAAGUAACUUAAUUAUCUUAAAUAAAAAAAAUCAAUAAUAAUAAUAAAUAAUGUUUACGCAACACAUUACUACUAAAAUUAAAGUUAAUACAACUAAAUAAUGUAUUUAAUAAAUUUAUAAUAAUGAUAUAUAUAUUGUAUGUAUGUAUGUAAAAUUUUAAAAAAUCUCACAAAUAUUUUAUAAAACAACAACAAAACAAAAACAACUCGAAAACAACAAAAAAUCAGAAUGAAACAAAUAAGCAAGUUUAAUAUUAUCUAUUGGUAUAUUAAGUUAGUCAAAGUAUCGUCGGAAAUUAUAAGUAAAAAAUCUAAAUAUAAAGCAAAUUACAAAAAUGCAAGUUGGACUUAACUAUACAUAUGUACAUAUGUAUAUGUAUUGAAAAAAUUAAAAAUAAAAACAAAAAACACAAAGAAACGUUUAAAAGCAGCCGAGUAAGCGCAGUAGUCGUGUCUGUUUGUUUGCGUGUGAGCGUGCGCACAAGUCGGCGGUGUGCAAGGCGCAAAGUGCGCACACUCAAACGAACACUACACUCACCCACCUGGCGCAUACUGGCGAAAUACAAAGUGAAACAACAAAAACAAAGCAUGAAAACACACUGUUAUCAGGUGUUGACAUAAAUAUUUAAUAAAGAAAAUUAAUAAAUUAUAAAAUAUA
Bactrocera neohumeralis is the source of this 1381-nucleotide long non-coding RNA. RefSeq lists it as uncharacterized. The transcript has 2 exons. Lineage: Eukaryota; Metazoa; Arthropoda; Insecta; Diptera; Tephritidae. The record is from RefSeq and is a predicted model, not a curated record.